GGGAGAGGUGGCCUGAAAAGGUCCUUAAAGAACUGGAAUAGCAUGUCGUUGGGGAAGCCAUGAUGGAAGCGUGUCCAGGGGGGCAGUCUGAGCCAUCUGAAAGCAGCCUGGCCCAAAUAAAGGAAGAAGCAUUCCAGUUCUUUCCUUCAGGGAUGAGUGGUUUACCAGGCAGAGACGUGCGUUAAGAAGUGGCUCUUUGUAACACGUCUAUAGAGAAGGGCCUCCUAAUGCUCCAGUACAUCGAAGCCCAACAACUUGCCUCCUGUGAUAGUUUUCUGACACCUAAAUAAUGAAGGCCCACGCACCUCAACAAGGUGAUUUUAAAAACC
This is a long non-coding RNA of Herpailurus yagouaroundi (jaguarundi), 329 nucleotides long. RefSeq lists it as uncharacterized. The transcript has 2 exons. NCBI's taxonomy places the organism in Eukaryota, Metazoa, Chordata, Mammalia, Carnivora, Felidae. The record is from RefSeq and is a predicted model, not a curated record.